CAGACGGACUUCAUCCUGGUGCGGGAGCAGGACCUGUCCGUGGUGAUCCACACGCUGGCCCAGGAGUUCGACAUUUACCGCGAGGUGGAGUGGGCAGGUGCUAGCCUGACUGCGUGUCUGCCCAUGCAGGGGAACACGGUGCUCGGGGCUUAAGCCCCCAACCCAUCACUCCCUGCGCAGCCUCGGCGUUUGCACAGUCCCUGCCUGAGGCCUGAGCCAUUCCCCAAAGGCUUCCUGGGCCAGCUGCCCCGCUGACCUCCGUUCUGCCUCUGGUGGGGUUGCCUUCCCUGGCCAGGUGAGUCCUGACAGUGCCUCUCCCUCCUGGGGCCUCCAAGGAAAGUAUUUUGACAUCUCUCUCUCUUCUGUUUUUAUUGACUUGUUAAUAAAGGACUUUGUAGUGAC
This 402-nucleotide long non-coding RNA is filed under the name Homo sapiens (human). Its description in RNAcentral is "non-protein coding lnc-CASTOR1-1:3". The record is from RNAcentral. Lineage: Eukaryota; Metazoa; Chordata; Mammalia; Primates; Hominidae.